GAUGAACGCUGGCGGCGUGCCUAAUACAUGCAAGUCGAGCGAACAGACGAGGAGCUUGCUCCUCUGACGUUAGCGGCGGACGGGUGAGUAACACGUGGAAAACCUACCUAUAAGACUGGGAUAACUUCGGGAAACCGGAGCUAAUACCGGAUAAUAUAUUGAACCGCAUGGUUCAAUAGUGAAAGACGGUUUUGCUGUCACUUAUAGCUGGAUCCGCGCCGCAUUAGCUAGUUGGUAAGGUAACGGCUUACCAAGGCAACGAUGCGUAGCCGACCUGAGAGGGUGAUCGGCCACACUGGAACUGAGACACGGUCCAGGCGCCUGCGGGAGGCAGCAGUAGGGAAUCUUCCGCAAUGGGCGGAAGCCUGACGGAGCAACGCCGCGUGAGUGAUGAAGGUCUUCGGAUCGUAAAACUCUGCUAUUAGGGAAGAACAAAUGUGUAAGUAACUAUGCACGUCGUGACGGUACCUAAUCAGAAAGCCACGGCUAACUACGUG
Molecule: ribosomal RNA, 497 nt
Filed under: uncultured bacterium
Lineage: Bacteria
Description: partial 16S ribosomal RNA
Rfam family: Bacterial small subunit ribosomal RNA
Source: RNAcentral